Long non-coding RNA from Hemicordylus capensis (graceful crag lizard), 1479 nucleotides. RefSeq lists it as uncharacterized. NCBI's taxonomy places the organism in Eukaryota, Metazoa, Chordata, Lepidosauria, Squamata, Cordylidae. The transcript has 2 exons. The record is from RefSeq and is a predicted model, not a curated record.
CCUCCACUCAGCUCGAAUUCAGGGGUUCUGGAUGCCUUCUAUAGACAAGACAAUAUUUUGAAAACACAACUCUUGGAAAGAGGCUACCCCAUGAAAAUUAUAAAGAGAGCUUUUUACAAGGCUCAGGUGUUGGAUUGUGGAAGAUUACUUACUUCUCAAAAAAAGUAGAAGGAAACACCUAAUAGAAUGAUCAUUCCGAUUACUUAUAAUACACAUUCUUGGGAUAGACAACAGGUAAUUAGAAAACACUGGCAUUUAUUACAGGGCAUUACAUGAUGUGAAGAACAAUCCAUGUUUGCCCAUAAAAAGUGCAGGCUUGAAAGUACACAGUGACAUAUUGAACAGUUCCAUCAGAACAACGACAUCCACCUACCCAAAGGACAUUUCAGAUGUGGCCAUUGUUCAGUUUGUGCCAAUUGUGAAUAGACUGCAACAUUCCAAAAUCCCCAGAAUCAGAGAGUAUACCACAUCAGGGAUUUCUUCAACUGCAGCAGCAAGGGAGUGAUUUAUAUCAUACAAUGUCCUUGUGGGUACUGUAUGUGGGUAUGACUACAAGACAGAUAAAAGUGAGGAUAACAAGACAAAAGCUGCAUUCAGAAUAAGAAAAUACAAGCUCCCUUGGUUAAACAUUUCAUCGAAUUCCAGCAUCAGGCACAGAGUCUGAAGUUCUGGUGUGUAGAACAGGCUCAUAACAGGAGAAUAGAUAUACACACUUGGUUGUCAUAAAGAGAGAGAUAUUGGAUCCAUACGCUGAGAACAUUGUCCCCAUUCAGUCUGAAUGAGGAAGUCAGUUGGCUUUUGUUGCCUACUGUUUCAGAUUCCAUACAUGGAUAUUUCUUGUACAUAUGUUAUAGGUUUUGGACUCACUGAUGAUUUUAUUCAUAUAUGUUUACAUGUAAUACUCUGGUACUGAUUUGCAUAGUUAUAUUUAGUUUUGUAUUGAUCUAUAGCUAUAUUUAGGUAGUUGUUUAUUAUUAUUAUUUCGAUUUCUAUACCGCUCUUCCAAAAAUAGCUCAGAGCGGUGUGUUUAUAUUUAUUUUUAAACAAUUUUGUACUAAUUUAGGCUAUGGGAGUAAGUAGUCACAGGACUGGAAGGCUGGAUACUCAAUUUAGUGGUGCUAGCAGAUGUUUCCAAUACUAGGAUGGAAAACAUCAGAAUCUAUUUAAGCCACCAGAAUGGAGUUAAGAAAGUAAGCUGAAGGGAGAAGCAAACAGCUCAGUCCUCAUGUUGGUUAGAGACCACAAGUAGAAAGAGAUUUUUCAAAAAACUGCCACUGAAGAAGACUUGACAAGAGUCGAAACGCGUUUGGCAAGAAUACAGGACUCGUCAAAAAUAGCUACAUGAGACUUUACCUCAGGAAUAUCCACACAUACUUCUCCUGCUGCACCUGCAAUACAUCCCAUCUUUUUCAUUGGAUAUAGAGACUACUUUAAUGAUCGCUUGUCAUUAAUGAUCACUAUAAAUUGUAUUGAAACAUA